This 460-nucleotide ribosomal RNA is filed under the name uncultured bacterium. Its description in RNAcentral is "partial 16S ribosomal RNA". It matches the Rfam family "Bacterial small subunit ribosomal RNA", at positions 338 to 795 of the family's 1533-position model. The record is from RNAcentral.
CCUACGGGUGGCAGCAGUGAGGAAUAUUGGUCAAUGGACGAGAGUCUGAACCAGCCAAGCAGCGUGCAGGAUGACUGCUCUAUGGGUUGUAAACUUCUUUUAUAUGGGAAUAAAAUGCUCUACGUGUACGAUUUUGUAUGUAUCAUAUGAAUAAGGAUCGGCUAACUCCGUGCCAGCAGCCGCGGUAAUACGGAGGAUCCGAGCGUUAUCCGGAUUUAUUGGGUUUAACGGGCGCGUAGGUGGACUGUUAAGUCAGAUGUGAAAUUCUGCGGCUCAACCGCGGAAUUGCAGUUGAUACUGGCAGGCUAGAGUACAGUAGAGGUAGGCGGAAUUCGUGGUGUAGCGGUGAAAUGCUUAGAGAUCACGAAGAACACCGAUGGCGAAGGCAGCUCACUGGACUGCGACUGACGCUGAGGCUCGAAAGUGUGGGGAUCAAACAGGAUUAGAUACCCCUGUAGUC